This 308-nucleotide ribosomal RNA is filed under the name uncultured bacterium. Its description in RNAcentral is "partial 16S ribosomal RNA". It matches the Rfam family "Bacterial small subunit ribosomal RNA", at positions 505 to 808 of the family's 1533-position model. The record is from RNAcentral.
GAGACAGCAGUAGCCGCGGUAAUACGUAGGUGGCAAGCGUUGUCCGGAAUUAUUGGGCGUAAAGCGCGCGCAGGCGGAUAGGUCAGUCUGUCUUAAAAGUUCGGGGCUUAACCCCGUGAUGAGAUGGAAACUGCCAAUCUAGAGUAUCGGAGAGGAAAGUGGAAUUCCUAGUGUAGCGGUGAAAUGCGUAGAUAUUAGGAAGAACACCAGUGGCGAAGGCGACUUUCUGGACGAAAACUGACGCUGAGGCGCGAAAGCCAGGGGAGCGAACGGGAUUAGAUACCCCCGUAGUCCCUGUCUCUUAUACC